GCCCCGCUGGCUCAAUGGUAGAGCAUUAGGCUUCUAGUGUUGAUUUCUAUCAAUAGGUAACCUAAAGGUUGCGGGUUCGACCCCCGCGUGGGGUU
This is a non-coding RNA of Pestalotiopsis sp. NC0098, 95 nucleotides long. The record is from the annotation of a GenBank genome assembly. NCBI's taxonomy places the organism in Eukaryota, Fungi, Ascomycota, Sordariomycetes, Amphisphaeriales, Sporocadaceae.